UCAGCAUCUCAGCCUUUUGGCUAAGAUCAAGAAUUUCUGACACCAAAAGAAGGGUGCCAGGGCUGGCUCUGGCUCAGUAUUGCAAUCAGCAUUUUUGGGGAGGGUAUUGGAGCUUGCUCUGGCCUCUCUGAGUGCUGGCCUGGUAUUGAAGGACCUCCGGGCCCAGUGGUCAUUCC
RNAcentral lists this small nuclear RNA (176 nucleotides) under Crocodylus porosus (Australian saltwater crocodile). RNAcentral's name for it is "U2 spliceosomal RNA (ENSCPRG00005000039.1)". It matches the Rfam family "U2 spliceosomal RNA". Rfam says of the family: U2 is a small nuclear RNA (snRNA) component of the spliceosome (involved in pre-mRNA splicing). Lineage: Eukaryota; Metazoa; Chordata; Crocodylia; Crocodylidae. The record is from Rfam by way of RNAcentral.